CCUUCUAUGGAAUUCAUAUUUUGGCUAUCAGAAUCUGAAUGUGUCACGGAUAUGCUUUUAUCAACACUAUUGAACCUAGACUUCUCUUUAGGAAUCUCUUCUGAAGGUAGACUAUCAACAAAUACCCCAAGACCAUUAGGAUUGGUGGUUGCAGUAUGUGGCUUAAAAAGAUUGCUUUUAUCAACACUAUUGAACCUAGACUUCUCUUUAGGAAUCUCUUCUGAAGGUAGACUAUCAACAAAUACCCCAAGACCAUUAGGAUUGGUGGUUGCAGUAUGUGGCUUAAAAAGACAUUUACUUGUAUUUGAGAACAAAGAUGUGAACCCGUCCU
Molecule: long non-coding RNA, 331 nt
Filed under: Lathyrus oleraceus (garden pea)
Lineage: Eukaryota; Viridiplantae; Streptophyta; Magnoliopsida; Fabales; Fabaceae
Description: Pisum sativum (pea) long non-coding RNA (PSAT_LNC000980)
Source: RNAcentral